This 468-nucleotide ribosomal RNA is filed under the name uncultured bacterium. Its description in RNAcentral is "partial 16S ribosomal RNA". It matches the Rfam family "Bacterial small subunit ribosomal RNA", at positions 28 to 507 of the family's 1533-position model. The record is from RNAcentral.
GACGAACGCUGGCGGCGUGCUUAACACAUGCAAGUCGAACGGAAAGGCCCUGCUUUUGUGGGGUGCUCGAGUGGCGAACGGGUGAGUAACACGUGAGUAACCUGCCCUUGACUUUUGGAUAACUUCAGGAAACUGGGGCUAAUACCGGAUAGGAGCUCCUGCUGCAUGGUGGGGGUUGGAAAGUUUCGGCGGUUGGGGAUGGACUCGCGGCUUAUCAGCUUGUUGGUGGGGUAGUGGCUUACCAAGGCUUUGACGGGUAGCCGGCCUGAGAGGGUGACCGGCAACAUUGGGACUGAGAUACGGCCCAGACUCCUACGGGAGGCAGCAGUGGGGAAUAUUGCACAAUGGGCGGAAGCCUGAUGCAGCAACGCCGCGUGCGGGAUGACGGCCUUCGGGUUGUAAACCGCUUUCGCCUGUGACGAAGCGUGAGUGACGGUAAUGGGUAAAGAAGCACCGGCUAACUACGUG